UAUAGAGCUAUGCAGCUCCAACCCAUGUGAACAUAUCUCUUUGUUGCCUCGGCGCAAGCUACCCGGGACCUCGCGCCCCGGGCGGCCCGCCGGCGGACACACCAAACUCUGUUAUCUUCGUUGAUUAUCUGAGUGUCUUAUUUAAUAAGUCAAAACUUUCAACAACGGAUCUCUUGGUUCUGGCAUCGAUGAAGAACGCAGCGAAAUGCGAUAAGUAAUGUGAAUUGCAGAAUUCAGUGAAUCAUCGAAUCUUUGAACGCACAUUGCGCCCAUUAGUAUUCUAGUGGGCAUGCCUGUUCGAGCGUCAUUUCAACCCCUAAGCACAGCUUAUUGUUGGGCGUCUACGUCUGUAGUGCCUCAAAGACAUUGGCGGAGCGGCAGUAGUCCUCUGAGCGUAGUAAUUCUUUAUCUCGCUUUUGUUAGGUGCUGCCCCCCCGGCCGUAAAACCCCCAAUUUUUUCUGGUUGACCUCGGAUCAGGUAGGAAUACCCGCUGAACUUAAGCAUAUCAAAAGUCGGAGGA
This 521-nucleotide ribosomal RNA is filed under the name Nigrospora sphaerica. RNAcentral describes it as "eukaryotic LSU rRNA". The stretch from base 154 to 307 matches the Rfam family "5.8S ribosomal RNA". The record is from RNAcentral. Lineage: Eukaryota; Fungi; Ascomycota; Sordariomycetes; Amphisphaeriales; Apiosporaceae.